RNAcentral lists this long non-coding RNA (1937 nucleotides) under Zostera marina. RNAcentral's name for it is "long non-coding RNA (ZMAR_LNC003169)". Lineage: Eukaryota; Viridiplantae; Streptophyta; Magnoliopsida; Alismatales; Zosteraceae. The record is from RNAcentral.
CCUCAAAUUAUCAACCAAGUUUAAUUAAACCCAAUACCACAAGACACAAAAUAGAAACCAAAAUCAAUACUUACAUUAAAAAUAAACUUUUGACUAACACAAACAAUCCAUUGAAAAAUAUUACUUACAGACAUCAUCUUUUCCAGAUGGAAGAUCAGAGUCAGACUCAAAUACUAAAUCAUGAAAGGCAAAAUUUCAGAAUAGUCGAAAAUUGUAUAAACUCAAUAAGGUAACACGCACUCCACUUAUUAUUAGAUCUAAUUAUAAACAACCUAAGUAAACAAUUGAGAUAAAUAUCCAUGAGAGGAAACUUGACACCAAUAAAAACGAGAAUUCUACAUUUAAAUACAUAUAGGGAUGUAAAAAUGCUAAAUAUAACAAUCAUUGUUUUCAUCAAAAGAUAGAUUUGUAUAAAAAAUCGAUCAAACAAGCACUGAGCAUAACUGUCUCUCCAAAUGGAAGCUUCGAUGCACUUUUCUAAUUCAACUUUUUCGUAAUGAUUAGAUGACCCCUGCACAGCAACAGAAACAACAAACACAGGAAAAAAAAAUACAAUAAAAACUCGUGGAAAUAGUGAAUUGGAUUGGGGAAGCCCGCGCGUAUAUCACGGCCCUAAUAAUCAGGCUCUUUCCGCGGGCAGUCUUCAUCGCGGGGAAAAGGAGAGAGAGCGACGCGCGCACAUCUCGGAUUAACCACACAAAGCUGUGGAGGCGGGACGGAAUGCUACCAAAACCCGUAACAAGGGCAGCAUUGCGAUCGCUACAUCAACCGAGGUGGAAAGCAUUGCGAGAUAGGCAGCGGCGACGGCAACAAUCAACCCCGCUCAGAUAAGAUCAAGUAGUUUGAUUUUCGAUUUAGGGUUUGUCUAGUGGUAUUUAUAAAUUCCGAAUUUGGACUUGUUUUAAUAUCCUAAAAAUAAAUGGGCUAUACAAUAGUCCAUUAUCAAAGACAAUGGCUGUUUUAAAAAAUGAUGGAUCGUGCAGUGCAGUGCAGGUCCAAUAGAUUUGAGUUCUUUUCCCAAAAACAACGGAAUCUUGCUUUUGCUAUAGACCUAUAGUAGGAAUUAAUGGUGGAGAUUUACAUAAGAUAAUUAAAUUUCAAUAAUCAAAUGGAAAAUUUCGAGAUCAUAAACUUUUUUUUUUUGAAUAAGUUGUUUUAUAUAUUAACAAAAUAAAAUAAAAUCUACAAAAAUUCAACACACAAAAAUAAUUGAUUUAAAUAUAGUCAUACUUACUUUCUACAGUUCUACUUACUCUCUAUCUAAGAAGACGGGUUUGUUCGACAGUUAAUCAAUCUUAACUUAAACCCUGUUGUGAAUACCAUUGAUACAAUGCCCUCUCUUCCACGUUUCUCUUGUGUGACUUUUUAAAUUUAUUUUUCUUGAAAUCGAUUUUCGUCGAUGUGAUUCAUUCCUUUAUGAUCAUUUCCUAAAAGAAGUAUCAUAAACUAGGGCUGAUCAUAUAUCUGAUACCCAUGGACCAUGAUGAGCCUUAGAUGAGAAUGUAAAAAUAUCUUAAAGACUUACUCAUAUUUAAUAUCUCACAAGAAUAUUUAAUAUGUUGUUUAAGAAUAUUAAUUGCUUGAGUUAUUAACAAAGUGAAAGAUAUCUUCUGAAUUGUGUGUGACCUUUUAUUACUUGUCUCUUUAAUACAGCGCAACUUCUUGUCUUGUGGAAGUAAUGUGUUAUCGAAAAAUCAAAGUAAAGAAUUAAACAAGUAUUAUUUUUCAUCGGAAAGACUUAAAAGUCAAUAUUGCCAGUGUCGACCUCUUCUUUAACAUCAACUUCAAUAGAAAAAAUAAUAAUAUUCAAAAACCAAAGGGAAUUUUCCAUUGUCUUUCUCUGUAAUUAUUGCGUCAAAUGCAAACGUGACCAACCUGUCUUUUUCUAACUUGUUUCAACAAAAUUAAUUUAACUGCUUCAAAAAUAAAUAUUUUCG